AUGCAUGUCUAAGUACGGCUCUAGUACGGUGAAACUGCGAAUGGCUCAUUAAAUCAGUUUUGGUUCAUUUGAUCGUAAACAUUUACAUGGAUAACUGUUGUAAUUCAAGAGCUAAUACGUGCUAAAAGUGAGAGUCUUUGAUUCUCAUGCUUUUAUCAGAUCAAAACCUUUCGUCUUCGGGCGUUAUCGUUGUGGCGAGUCUGGAUAAUUUUAGCUGAUCGCAUGGUCUCGAACCGGCGAUGGAUCAUUCAAGUGUCUGACCUAUCAACUUUCGAUGGUAGCGUAUUGGUCUACCAUGGUUGUAACGGGUAACGGAGAAUUAGGGUUUGGUUCCGGAGAGGGAGCCUGAGAAACGGCUACCACA
Molecule: ribosomal RNA, 364 nt
Filed under: Appendicularia sp. clade 4
Lineage: Eukaryota; Metazoa; Chordata; Appendicularia
Description: SSU rRNA
Rfam family: Eukaryotic small subunit ribosomal RNA
Source: RNAcentral